UUCCACUGUAUCGUUAAUUCA
Molecule: non-coding RNA, 21 nt
Filed under: Caenorhabditis elegans
Lineage: Eukaryota; Metazoa; Nematoda; Chromadorea; Rhabditida; Rhabditidae
Source: RNAcentral